CGGUGGCGAGGAUUGCAUCGACAACAAAGAAAGGAGAGAGAGGUGACCUAGAGACUGCAGUUCAAGACUCGAUAGCGUAGGAUAGGAAUUUCUGGUGAAAUAAUGUUCUCUAGUAUUAUAUAUACAUAGGUAAUUAAAGAAAUCUAUGCAUGUGCAGUGUAAGUGUUCAAAGUAGCAACAUUAUCUUUACUAGCUACCUUUGCUGUAGUUUCGCCUUUUACGAUGAGAAAACAUUGAAUAGAG
This 243-nucleotide long non-coding RNA is filed under the name Eucalyptus grandis. RNAcentral describes it as "long non-coding RNA (EGRA_LNC000541)". Lineage: Eukaryota; Viridiplantae; Streptophyta; Magnoliopsida; Myrtales; Myrtaceae. The record is from RNAcentral.